AUACGGAGGAUCCGAGCGUUAUCCGGAUUUAUUGGGUUUAAAGGGUGCGCAGGCGGCCAUUUAAGUCAGCGGUUAAAUCGUGGGGCUCAACCCCAUUCUGCCGUUGAUACUGGGUGGCUUGAUUGCGGUCGAGGUUGGCGGAAUUCGUUGUGUAGCGGUGAAAUGCAUAGAUAUGACGAAGAACACCGAUUGCGUAGGCAGCUGACCAGACCGCAAAUGACGCUCAUGCACGAAAGUGCGGGGAGCGAACAGGAUUAGAUACCCUGGUAGUCCGCACAGUAAACGAUGAAUACGUGUUUUCGGCGAUAGAAUGUCGGAGGCAAAGCGAAAGCGAUAAGUAUUCCACCUGGGGAGUACGCCGGCAACGGUGAAACUCAAAUGAAUUGACGGGG
This 392-nucleotide ribosomal RNA is filed under the name uncultured bacterium. Its description in RNAcentral is "partial 16S ribosomal RNA". It matches the Rfam family "Bacterial small subunit ribosomal RNA", at positions 523 to 918 of the family's 1533-position model. The record is from RNAcentral.